Molecule: transfer RNA, 81 nt
Filed under: Smittium mucronatum
Lineage: Eukaryota; Fungi; Kickxellomycota; Harpellomycetes; Harpellales; Legeriomycetaceae
Rfam family: tRNA
About the family: Transfer RNA (tRNA) molecules are approximately 80 nucleotides in length. Their secondary structure includes four short double-helical elements and three loops (D, anti-codon, and T loops).
Source: Rfam by way of RNAcentral
CCGAAUAUAGCUCAGCGGUAGAGCGGGAGACUGUAGUAAACUGAUAUCUCUAGGUCCCUGGUUCAAACCCGGGUGUUCGGA